RNAcentral lists this ribosomal RNA (460 nucleotides) under uncultured bacterium. Its description in RNAcentral is "partial 16S ribosomal RNA". It matches the Rfam family "Bacterial small subunit ribosomal RNA", at positions 338 to 795 of the family's 1533-position model. The record is from RNAcentral.
CCUACGGGAGGCAGCAGUGAGGAAUAUUGGUCAAUGGGCGCGAGCCUGAACCAGCCACGUAGCGUGAAGGAUGAAUGCCCUACGGGUUGUACACUUCGUUUAUAGAGGAAUAAAGUGAGGCACGUUUUCCUUUUUGUAUGUACUUUAUAAUUAAGGAUCGCCUAACUCCAUGCCAGCAGCCGCGGUACUACGUGGGAUCCGAGCGUUAUCCGGAUUUAUUGGGUUUAAAGGGAGCGUAGAUGGGUUGUUAAGUCAGUUGUAAAAGUUUGCGGCUCAACCGUGACAUUGCAAUUGAUACUGGCAGCCUUGAGUACAGUAGAGGUAGGCGGAAUUCGUGGUGUAGCGGUGAAAUGCGUAGAUAUCACGAAGAACACCGAUGGCGAAGGCAGCCUACUAAACUGCCACUGACAUUGAUGCUCGAAAGUGUGGGUAUCAAACAGGAUUAGAUACCCUAGUAGUC